ACCUCCCCAAAACUGCCCCAAAUCGUUUUUGUAAAUUUCAACUCAUUUUUUCCCACAACUUUCCCAGCCAUAAUCUUUUUGGGGAUUAGUUCAAUUUAUGGCAGUCCCCAAAGGGCAAUAAGUUUAUGCAGGGAGGCUCCAUUGCAGUUAUACAUUGUACAUUUCACUGAGUUUGAUUUUUCUUUUCUUUAUUUUUGGUAAAAAAAAAAGGGGAAAAAUGAUAUAGCCCUAUGGGAUUUUUUAAAAUUUAUUUUUUAUCUUUUGUACUUUUUCUUGUAAUUAUAAACCUUAAACGUCUUUUUAACAUCUUAAAAAGAUGUUUUUUUAUUAUUAUUUUAAGUGAAUAUAUUUUCCAUUUUUACAAAGUUUAAUUUCAAGUUUAGCCCAACUUAGCGUCAGGGUCAUUGUUCUUUGUUUAUAUACAGAUAACAUGACAGGUGGACGAAAUUGAUUGGACGUAUGUGGGUAGGGUGUUAUGAAUGAACCCGUGGCUGUUGAACCAGGGAUCCAAACCGAGCCUCCAUCCGAAACUGCUAGGGCUACGCGUCAAAGAAAGCUUCCUCCAAAAUUCUAGGAUUUUGUCAUGUAGACUACGACAGCAAGGGCAUAACGGCUGGAAAGGUACUAUAAGAAAAACAGAAGGCUUAUGGCUGCAGCAUGCUUAUUGUCAAUUGAAAUUUGUUUCUUUUUUCUCACCUUUACUCUCUGAGUGUACGGCUGGUUAUAUUCACCGGAAGAAAUUCAUCUUCAGCUUUCAUCAAUUUCUGCUCAUCUCAUUUUAGACAUUAUUAGAUUCUAUUGUAGGAAUAUCUGUACACAACAUUGGUGCUUUCAUUGACCAUCGACAAAUAUGGCAGAUGGUAACCGACUCAAGUUACUCGAUAAAAAUGUCAAAGCCAUCCAAGAAUCGCAUGCGCAGCUCCGCAAAGACGUUGAUGGUAUUACUAAAUCCUUUGCUUCUCAACACCAGAUGCUGUAAGAAAUCCUAACUUGUCUGCCAGUUGUUUCCACGGAUUCACCUCCCAAAACAGGGCCACAUAUCGCAUCACAACCAACUGGUUCUUCCAUUGGCUCCCACAAACCCGUAUCGAUUCAGUUUGCCCGGUUUUCAGGAACAGGAUAGGCUUACCAUUGCUUCAUUCUAUCUUGAUGAUGAUGCUGCGGAGUGGAUUGAUUGGAUGUAUAGAAACAAACAAUUUUUCGGGUAGAUUCAUUUUAA
This is a long non-coding RNA of Gossypium arboreum, 1219 nucleotides long. RefSeq lists it as uncharacterized. The transcript has 2 exons. The record is from RefSeq and is a predicted model, not a curated record. NCBI's taxonomy places the organism in Eukaryota, Viridiplantae, Streptophyta, Magnoliopsida, Malvales, Malvaceae.